This 3085-nucleotide ribosomal RNA is filed under the name Triticum aestivum (bread wheat). RNAcentral's name for it is "partial small subunit ribosomal RNA". Lineage: Eukaryota; Viridiplantae; Streptophyta; Magnoliopsida; Poales; Poaceae. The record is from RNAcentral.
CGAACCCUGAGCGACCCGAAAUCCCCUUUUUUAUCGUGCCGUCGGAGAGGAAGGACCCUGCUGUGCCGUGGCGGCGGUACUUAGGGCGGCGGUGCGCGCCGGCCAGAUGGAGAGGUCGAUGGGAGUUCGUCGCGGCGACAACGGGUCAAGAAGGGGAGGAGUGGGCGGGGUUGAGGAGUGGGGAUCGGAGGAAGCGGAGUUCCGCCUGCAGAGACUAAACCUAUACUAAGGUACCGCACAAGUGCGGCGGUGCGCGUCAGCCAGAAGGAGAGGUCGAUGGGAGGUCGUCACAGUAGCAACGGGACAAGAAGGGGAGGAGGGGGCGGGGUUGAGGAUUGGGGGUCGGAGGAGGCGGAGUCUCCGCCUGCUGAGGCUAAACCUCGAGUUCAUGAGGGAGGGGGCGUGGAGGUAGGGGUACAUGCAGGAGGGCAAUCCAAACAUGUUUAAAUUCUAGAUCUUAAUUUCCUAAGAUUCCAACUUAUCUUCCUCCCUGUCUUUCUUACCCAUCGUUAAACAAGCCCCUAAAGUAAAAAACACGGUUGGAGACUCUAGGGGAAGAGACGGUACCUAAACCUACGAACGUCUAAACCUAACCCCACGUUGUCUCUACUCCUUCCUGUUUCGUGCUUGUCGAGUUCACUCUCACUUGCCUAUACUCGUGUGUUGGGAGAGUCCACUGCAACCGACUAGUCCUAUGGGUUAAGAGUUUGUUUGUUGGACUCUACGAGAUCUAUACCUUCAAGUGGCGGUUCGAGCUGGUUGUUCAAAAAACCAAGUACAAGUUACCCUCCACUUCUCACAACUCGUCCAUAACUACGUCCAGGUUCCAUUUGAGAUAAAAAGAAGAAAAUAACACAAAUAAUCUACUUGUACAGUUUCCACGUCUACCUGUACUACUUCGGCACUUAACAGUGCGUCCAGUAACUCGAAGAACCCAAACUGUGUCGAGUGGGAGCAGAUGCUUUGCUUUUUAGAGCCGUACGGAUUUAUUUUCCCCAGCACCCAACGCUUAGUUUUUUUGGGCCAAUCAUAUUUAUUUCCUUUAAUACCCGAGACUUCGCUUUUUAAGAUCAACUGUAUUUAUUUCCCCUAACACCCGAUGCUUUGCUUAUAGAGUUAACUCGUCCUAACAACAUACGAUUUACUUUUUAUUUUCGCUGACCAGACACUUUGCUUUUUAUUCGUUUCCGGAGGGUCAACCGUAUUUAUUUGCCCGUGACCAACUUGUUGAAGUCAUAAAAUAUGAUUACGAUAAAAGUAAAUUUCCGACUUAAAACAGUGGGGCAACGUUGCGUGCUCGUAUACAGGAUCUUAUAUAAACCUUCCGUCUCAAGCACUUUUGUUUACAGUCAGGAAAAAAGAAGACUUUUCGAGAGAAGUAAGAAAAAGUGCAGAUAAGAAUAACGAACUCUUAACAACGCCAGGCAUGGUACAUAGGUGGCAAAGGAUUCCUCUCACAAGGAUACGAUUUUUGACAACAAAACAGGAGUAUCUAAAAACAAGAUACCCUAAACACGCCAGAUUUAUCAUGACAUAAAUCAAAAUACUUUCCUACGUUUUCGUUAUGAUCCCGAAGGUCACAUAUGACUAACGAUUUCCUACGUUAUCAUAAACACAUCACCCCUUCACAGUAAGGGAGACAAAUGGUUAACCGGAGGGGGAGAAUUCUCUAGAUUGGGAACAAUGGUAUUCCUUUUUCGUUUCUGAUAAUACUGUGGUAUUUCAAACUUAAGUCUCUUCAUAUACGACUUCUUGUGGUCUUAAUCAGAAGUACUUGGUAGUAGCGGAACAACUACUACGAAGUGUAUAUUCAAAAGACCAGGAAAUGUUCCAGAAGAUUAAUAAGUCUUCGCUACAGUUUACCAUGCAUGGUAAAAAUUAAAAUUAAAAGAACUUAACAAUUCAACUCUUGCCUACGAACGUAAAGGUAAACCCUUUUUCUCUCCUCUUUCACUACCUAACCUCGAAAGUGUCUUGUAAUAAUGACAGAUCUUUUAAGUACCGUUAUCCCGGUUACCAACUUGUAUAUUUAGAAAAACUUCAUUUAAGAAAACAUUGAGAGUCAGAGUCAUGAUGGAACAGCUAACUAUGAAUCUCCUGGUCUCCCUUUUUAGGUUUCGUUUCGGGAUGUGUACGUCGGGGACGGGUUUUCCUCGUUGACGUAAAACAGAUGUUACGUACAAACUGACUUUAAGGACAAAGAUAAAAAACGUCUCGCGAGUGUUUAAUUUGUUAGAUACUUUACCGAUCUUCCCUGACCUAUAGGAUGAACCAUACACCAAAAUCUUCGUUGAAUCCAAGGUCGAACGACACUUAAAAUACUAAAUAGUGACAAUAUGACAAUUGAUGAAUUGAACUAUGACUUUGUAACCUUGGUAUCAUAAACUUCACCUUAAGACUCGUCCGAAGUUGUUAAGUCAUUUCCGGAUACUUUGUAGAUACUAAAGUGAUCUCUCACCUAAACGUGAGCUCCUCGUUGAGCUCGUCGAAACGCGUGUACGGAUUUGGAUGAAAGUACAGCCACUACAAGUAUACACACAACAAGACAUAGUAAGAAAUGGAGAUCGUACACUAACAUUAGGUAAAAGUUUGAAAAAGAUUAUCUACGAGUAACUCGAAUAAAAGUACAUUUGCGUGUACAUGUAAGAGCCGUUUUUGUUUCUUUCACACCACACGAGCUGGAAGAGGGUCAGGUUGGAACUGGACCUUCGUACAGUUUGUUUUUGUGGUUUGAAAUGUGGUCGUAGUUCGGGGAUCUUUAUCAGAUAGUGGACAUAGAAACGCAUAGUGACUCUACCUCGGUCUUCUGUCAAAAAAAAUAGUCAAAUCCACAAUUGAGGAACACUGUCCAUGUACACUCAUAGUAACAACACAUCUCUCUUUUUAUAAGUCUAAUCUUUUGUAAAUCGAAUUCCACAUUGACCAUUGGUUAAUGAGAACCAGAGUGAUAAAAUAGAAAAACUACCUGUAAAAUGUAGAGAAAACUAAUGAUUCAGAAAAUAAAAGAUAAUAAAAAAGAAGGACAAGACUACAGUUGACUUUGUUCUUGUGCUCCGUGUAGUAAAACGAAGAUUGGGGUGUGUUA